This 2116-nucleotide long non-coding RNA is filed under the name Homo sapiens (human). RNAcentral describes it as "non-protein coding KCTD21-AS1:13". Lineage: Eukaryota; Metazoa; Chordata; Mammalia; Primates; Hominidae. The record is from RNAcentral.
UAAAUAUACAAAAAUUAGCCAGGUGUGGUGGUGGGUGCCUGUAGUCCCAGCUACUCAGGAGGCUGAGGCAGGAGAAUCUGGAACCCCGGAGGCAGAGGUUGCAGUGAGCCGAGAUCGCACCAUUGCACUCCAGCCUGGGCGACAGAGUGAGACUAUCUGAAAAAAAGCAAAAAUAGGCCAGGCAUGGUGGCUCAUGCCUUGAUCCCAGCACUUUGGUAAGCCUAGGCAGGUGGAUCACUUGAGGUCAGGGGUUCGAGACCAGCUUAGCCAACAUGGUGAAAACCUGUCUCUACUGAAAAUACAAAAAUUAGCCAGGCGUGGUGGUGGGUACCUGUAAUCCCAGCUACGCGGGAGGCUGAGGCAUGAGAAUUGCUUGAACUCAGGAGGCGGAGGUUGCAGUGAGCAGCAGUCAUGCCAUUGCACUCCAGCCUGGUGACAGAGUAAGACUCUGUCUCAAAAAUAAAUAAAUGCAAAAACAACAAAUCUUAUUUUUUCAGCCUGUUCGAUGUAUGUGUGAAACAAUGUUGUCCAACAAUAAACGGGAAUCUUAUUUUUCUGAGGUUUUUUCCCCUAACUUCAUUUCUAGUGAAUUUUCUGAGUUCUAACAAAAAAUGGUAGAGACAGUUGUCAUGAAUUGUACCCCUUUUCUCAUUCUUUCUGCUUUAGGCUUGAACAUGAGGCAUAAAGCUAGACUCAGCUGUUAGGAAAAACUGCCUCAUGCUGGCCCUGACAUCAUUGAGCUAAUAAACAAAUCCCUCUACCUCCAGACUUAUUAUGUGAGGAAACACACACACACACACACACACACACACACACACACACACACGUGUUACUGAAACACCAGGGGUUCCGAUCUAGUUCCUGUUCCUUGCUUCACAAAAAGCCAAUCACUGAGAUGAUUAUUGCCAAAGAAUAAGGCUUUAAUCAGGUGCUGCAGAGAAACAGAUGGGAGAUCAAUCUCAAACUUGGGUCCCUGACUGACUAAAACUAGGUUUAUAUAGCAGGAAAGAAAUGUAAUAAUGUGUUAAAAAAAAAAAAAAAAGGAACUAGGGAGGAAUAAGGAAGCAAUCAUGAUGAAUGAGGGGCUUGGCAUCUCAUUUUCUGGAUGCUGUGAUCCGGUGAGUUUCAGUUCUUUGAUACUUUUUUUGAGAGACCUGAAGGUCAUUUCCUGAGGAAGGAACUCAGAUAAAUAUAACUUUCCAGCUUUAAGACCAGAAGGGUCAAUUUCUAUGUUUGUCCAAAAAAAAACUAAGGUACUAUUGGGUCAGGUUCACACACGCCCACACCACCCUUAGGUGUUUAAGCCACAGUUGGUCAGUUUACCUGUUCUUCCAGCAAAAGCAUUUCUCACUGCUCUUGCCAGGUCCUGUCUAUUUAACCUCCUAGAUGUCUCUCACAUUCAUGCAUUCCUCUUCACCCACCUUUGCCACUCUAGGCAUAAUGACCUGCUUUCAGCCUUUGGUACAUGCCAUGUUCCCUCCUGUCACUGCCCUUUAUACACGCCCUUCCCUCUGUCUGGAAUGUUCUUCCUUCUCCCCUUAGGCUAGUUAGCUCUUCAUCCUUUGGCUUUUAUAGCAAGCACUGCUUCCCCAAGACAGCCUUCCCCAACCUCCCCUUAUCCUACCCUGGGCACCUGUCAGCUGGAUGCAAUUUUAUACUAUGUGUGUGAUUAUCCAAUUAUCUCACUAGUUAUUCACUCCAUGAGGACAGGGACCUUUUCUGUUUUAUUCAUCAUUGUAGCAGCAGCAACCCACAUAGCAGCUGACACAACAGAUACGCUCUAUAUUUGUUGAAUGGCAUGAAUGUCUAAAAUAGGAUUCCAACCCAGUCUCUCCUACCUGAGUCUCUGCUUAUCCUCAGUAGCUGGGACUACAGGCAUGGCAUGUGCCACCAUGCCUCUUCGGUUCACCUUUAAAAAAUAAAAGAAUUGGCCACAUACAAUGGCUCACACCUGUAAUCCCAGCACUUCGGGAGGCCAAGGCAGGUGGAUCACAAGGUUAGGAGUUCGAGACCAGCUUGGCCAACAUGGCAAAAACCCCGUCUCUACUAAAAAUACAAAAAUUAGCCAGACGUGGCAGGCACCUGUAAUCCCAGCUACUUGGGAGGCUGAGGCGGG